Molecule: long non-coding RNA, 3935 nt
Organism: Lolium perenne
Lineage: Eukaryota; Viridiplantae; Streptophyta; Magnoliopsida; Poales; Poaceae
Source: RefSeq, a predicted model, not a curated record
UUUUUUGACUGUUUAUUGCUUUCGGUUGGCUUCCGGUUGCCGGUCAUCCCAAACGCCCCAUGAAAGACAAAGAAAGAAUACUCUGAUGAUUCUUCCACCGCUUUGACUAGACCUCUCUAGAAUAAACUGACCAGUAUCUCCCCACGUCUUCUCAAUUUCCACCGCUGCCUUCUGAAAGAAGAAAAAAUUCCACCGCCGCUCCUCCUCGGCACCCCCUUUUCUACUGAAUUGCGGUCAGGUCGUAGCCUCAGAACCUGAGGUCAGAUACAAGAACGGCAAUGGUCUGGGCUCCAGCAGUGCGAGAAUCGACUGAGCGGCCGACCAUGGCGCGAGGGGAGUGGCCAGGCCGCGAGCCAGAGCGUGGCGCCGGAGCCGGGCGGGCGCAGCGAAGGGCCAGAGCUAGCGGGUUCUAGAGCUGGAGGGCGCAACAAGAUGGAGCAGCCGGGUGCGUCAAGGACGGCGCGGACGCGGAGUUGGCGGAGUGGCCGGGCCGCGAACUGGAGCCUGACGCCGGAGCCGGGUGGACGCGGCGAAGGGGCGGAGCUGGCGGGUUCCGGAGCUGGAGGGGGUCGGGCGCAUCAACGACGGUGCGGGCGCGGAGUCGACGGAGCGGCACGGUCAGCGCAGCCGACAAGGGCGCAGUCCGGCACGGUGCGAGCCAGAGGGGAGCGGCACGGAAGUCGGAGGCGCGAGUGGAGCGGUGGGGCUCGCCGGAGCCGGAGCUUGGCGUGGAGCAUGUGGAGCGGCCGGAGGGCACGGGGCGCGGACGUCGUGGGAGCAGGACGGCGGUAGGGCGAUGGAACGCGAGCCGGCGCUGACCGAGGAGCGAGCGGAGCGGCGGACUUGGGCGCAUGCGUGGCCGGAGCGGCAUAGGUGCGGGACUCGCGGGCUGCAGACGGACUCCGGGAGCAGGGCGCCGACGGCGGGCGCGCGGCCAUGGCGCACGCAGGAGCCGCCGGCGGGGUUGCGGCCUCGCACAGGGCCAGAGGACGAAGCCCCGAGGUUGUACGGGCACAUGACGAGGAUGGGCAGGUGCACGGGCUCGCACAAGAGGCAACAGGGCGAGGAUGAGGAGGCCCAGCAUGCUAGAACUGGAAUGCGAGCGCGUGGGUCGGACAGCCAUGCGCGGGAGAUGAGCAGGCGGGGAGCUGCUGCGGGAGCGUUGGAGAGGACAUGGAAGAAGAGGCCAGGAGGGACGCGUCGCAGGAGGGAGGCGCAUGGCGUAGUUGCUGGGCGCGUGGGUGGCCGGGCGGAAGCGCUGGCCAGCGCGAGUAACUGGAGUAGGGCGCAGCAGGGAGUGAGGAGGUUGCGCAGAGCUACGCAGGGCGGCGGCCGGCGCGGGAAGAGCAGUUUCGCUGAUGCCGGCAGGCGCGCAGGAGAGGAGGGAGCCAUCGAUCGUGGCGUGGCUAAUCCAGAGCGGAGCAGGGGAGGGAGGCGACCACCGCGUCGUGCUGCACCAACAAUGCUUUAGGCUCCAAUGUGGAUAUUAUUUCAUAUCGUCAAUGGAAUGGAGAGAUGUAUGGACCGCGAGUUGAAUUAGCCAACUGGACCAAAAAAAAAUCAGGUUUCAGUACUAACAAGGUUUGUCCAUUUGUACUCAAUAGUUAACUUGAGGAUAAAGGUUCUAAAAUGUAAGGCACCUCUAUGAUAAUCACAUCAACACCGUGAUUUUACUCCAAUACCAAUGUAUAAACAUGGACUGAUACAGAGUAACUUACUAAAUCCAUUUGUAUCCUGAUUUGGGUUUGUCCAAUUUUCUGGCCUGACUUUCAUCUGCUACCAUUUUUUAACCUUCUCAUUCUAUUUUACUGAAAGGUUACCUAUUUGCUAAGGGGAAACACUUCCUAUUGCUGUUAGCUGAACGCAUUUCUAGGUGCUAUGCAGGCAUUCUAGGGCUUCAUAUAGCGAAGGUAUGUUUUGUUUAUUUCACGAUUUAGUUUAGAUCCUUACUGUACAUGUGCCAACAUGCUUAUUUCUUAUAAUUUCUGUAGAAAGCUUGCUAUCUGUUUGGUAUCAGAAAGCUCAUCUAUCUCAAAUGGAAUAGUUUAUGAGAGGAACAAAGAACAAAAGGAUGAUGAUAUUUCUGUUUCGUAUCAGAAAGCUCAUAUAUGGAAUAGUUUAUGAGAGGAACAAAGAACAAAAGGACGAUUUUUUUUUUUUUUUUUGGUUUUGAAUGGUCAUUUGUAUGCUUACAAUAUUAUACCAAAGUACGUGUUACAGGAGAAUGAGAAAUGACAGGGUUUAUUGAAAUCAGUAGUUUUUCAUGUAAUAUUAGACUGAAAAAAUGGUAAGCUACUAUCGUAUAUAAAACUGAUGACUGAUCUCUACAUUUGCUCACAACAUUACAGGGUUCGCUUAUAGUUAUAUCGUUUCUCCUUUCGCAUGGAGAAGUUUUGUAAUAUUAAACAUGGUGACCACAUAAGAAUUCAGUUGACGAGCUCAUAAUAUUUUGACCAAAUCUGAGGCAGGGUGAUUUUCCCUUAUAAAUUGAUCUUCAUGAGUUUAUAAAUUGACGUUUCUGUAUUUAACUGAAAGGUUCAUGGUGCUUAGUUUCCAGGUGGAUUUUUUGAAUUGCCAAAUUAUUAACAGAAAUAUGUAUACUUAAGGAGUCAUCAAUUGCAUCGACCAAGAUCCACUUCAUCUGCUACCUUACUCUGAUCACAAUAUCGGAAACUAGGGUUCAUUGUACAUAUUUACUUCCUGAUGUAGCCAUUUGGUAAAAUAGUAGUAGCAUAAUAUCAUCUGUUUUAAUUUUCCCUACUGAAAACAGUCUGUUGUUUUUACCAACCACUGUACAUGUUCAGAACUUCACAUGUUAAAACAUGGAUAGGCAUUAAACCAUUGUCUUGCUUAAUUGAGGAAAUUUCCCAUUUUGCUUAUUUAGCAAUUUGCGUAUUCAUCUUGCUCUCUGAAUUUCUUUAGUAUGUCAGUGUUUUCUUUCAGAUGUCCUUUAUUUAUCAAAGAUCUCUGCCAAUACAUUUCAAAAUUAGUACAUUAAUUGGUCGCAUUGUUCACAGAGAACCUUGGUUCUUUUCCUUGGUCCAAUUGUGUUGUGCUUGCUUAGCUGAUCACUAUUCUGCAAAACUAGGCCAAAUAUGGUUUGGGUCGCAACAAAAGAAGAGCCAGUUUGCACCUGACAAUUUUCAAAGGAUAUGUCUUCAGAUCUUUAAGCUCUGUUUUCCCAGAUGACAAGAUUCAUCGAGCUCACCUGAAAUUUUCAAAGGAUAUGUCUUCAGAUCUUUAAGCUAUGUUUUCCCAGAUGACAAGAUUCAUCGAGCUACCACAUAAUUUUCAAGUAACAAUGAUGAAAUGGGGCAAUAAUACAUAUCAGGUCCAGGCAGCAGCUGAAAACAGAAAAGGAGCAUAUGGGAAUUGAUUACCUCCUCCACACCUGAGGUUGUCUCCGUCAACAACACUCUCGACCCAUAAAGCCCUGGCGAUGGCUGCGCCAAGCUCAACUUGCCCAUCGCCCUACCGCUCAACCUUUCACAGGGAUGAAAGACUCAGACUAUCAACGAAGCCGCAGGUGCCAUGCAAGCACUGAAGGUCCCCACUCAAGCAAGGAGCAAUGCCGUCCGCGGACCAAGCACAAACUGCCUCCAAAGAAGACUGUAAGCAUCCCCUCAUCUGACAAAGAGGACAACAAUGCAUAUUAUUGACGAGCUUGCCACCAACUAUCUGCAACAAAGUACGGCUAAUUUUGGUAAUCAGCUGCACUGUCGUUCUGAACCACCAAGCUCUCCAUCCUCUACGGAGCAAUAUAGAGCAGGCUAUGCUCUGCUUUUGUCAUCUGAAUUUUGCUACUCUAUAGAUAAUCGGUAGAUGGCACAAAGUAUCUAUCGCUGACUAGGAAUCAUGUAGUGUGUAAAUGCAGAAAAACCCAAAGAAUGUACUAUGUAAUGCAUGUCUCUAUCUUACGAUGCUUUCUGUUUGUA